RNAcentral lists this ribosomal RNA (444 nucleotides) under Triticum aestivum (bread wheat). Its description in RNAcentral is "partial small subunit ribosomal RNA". Lineage: Eukaryota; Viridiplantae; Streptophyta; Magnoliopsida; Poales; Poaceae. The record is from RNAcentral.
CCUCCGCUCGUGCCCCACGCUCGACCUCGAGAACAAGAAAAAGGUAAAACCCUAGCCGCCAAACCUUCUCCUCCCCACUCCAUCCUCUCCCACGCCGCCACACCCUCUCCUCACGCGCCUCAGCGCCCUCCCCUCCUCCCUGUGCCGCCGGCCCCCUUCCUUCUCCCCGCGCUAGAGCAGAGAUGCGCCUCAGUAUGGGUAGAACGCCGGGCAGCAGUACCGUCUCCAUGGACGCGGCGGCGUGACGGCUCCCAGGCACGGAUCCCCUCCUCCGCCUCCAUCCUCCACCUCUCCGGUCGCCCUGUUGCAACCUCUGGAGCAGCAGCAACUGAUUUCCAUCUUCCAGUUCAUGUAAAUGGCCUUGUUGUGGUUGCACGGUGGUCCGUGGGGAACAGGAGCAAAUACCUUUGCUACAACCGAGGUCUUGACAGACCAGUCAGUUAG